AAAGUAACUAAGGGGGUGCUAAUUUAUUUUUUCAUGUCACCUGAAUUUAUUAAUUUAUUAUAGUUAAUUUAUUUAUACAGCCACACAAAAAAUAAAAAUUAGGAAGGUAUAAAGAGGGGUAUCUAAUAAAAUCCCGAGUUCCUCUGGGGGGGCUAAAUUGCUGUCAACUUUUUUAAAGUUUAAAAAUUUUUUUACUAGUACUUUAUUUUAUUUGUUAUAAUAAUAACAGGCGUCUAACCCCGGUUUAUAAAAAAUUUUGCCAGUGAGUAAAAAUAAAGAAUACGCAAAAUUCACAACUAGUUAGCGUUAUUUCAUUUUUUUAAGGUAAAAAUUAAUUUUUAUUUUUUAACAAGUUUAACC
This 360-nucleotide ribosomal RNA is filed under the name Eudiaptomus intermedius. Its description in RNAcentral is "partial small subunit ribosomal RNA". Lineage: Eukaryota; Metazoa; Arthropoda; Copepoda; Calanoida; Diaptomidae. The record is from RNAcentral.